AAUUACCAGGAAUGACAACAACAGCUUUAAGGCUGACAGCACAAAAUCUGUUCGUUUUCUUGUUUUUCCGAACAUCAAUUGUAUUUAGUUACGCUUGAAUACCUCUUGAAUGUUGGGCGGAUAUUAAUAAUGUAGUUUAUAAAGAGAUUUUAGCAGGCCAGUUCAGGGUAGAAUAACAAUGAGGCAAUAUUCGCUCACAUAACUUCAAAUUGAAUAAUGGCGGUAAUUAUCUGGUUUGUUUCACUACGUAAAUAACACUUUCUCUCUGCAUAUUUUUUAAAUAUGUAAAAGUAUUUAUUUCAAAGACCCGUUGGGAUAAAGUGUGCCCUUCGUGUACAACAGGGGCGGCUAGCGGGCUAACGUUAGCAUCGGCUAUUUAAUGGCCAACAAGUGUACGAGAUUCAAGCUAACUUUAGCAUUUAGCUGGACGUUAGCAUGCCCGUUAGCUCGAAGCUAAGCUAACACGUGAGCCUCGAUAACUAAACUUAGCCGACGAGUAACGUUAGCAUCUCAACUCAUUGGCCACAGACAACAAGUUAGCAAGCGGCUAACGGUAACUCCUCUAUGACAACUCAUUCAAAUAUGAUAAUGUAAUGGUGACUAGACGGAAAUAAAUGUCGUUUAGUUGGGAGAAUGGGUUGAGUUGGAAGGCCGGCCGAGCAUCCAGCACAAAGCCGCUUUUCUCGUCACAUUCUUACCGGAGAGCUUCCACGGCAGUUGGAACGUGAACAGAACUCCUCGACUGCCCGUGUUCGAUCCUUCCUCGGUGCUUUAAAAGAGUGCUCCUUUCGGAACAUUUGUCUGGAACUGUUGCUUCUUUCUCCAUGGAGCCUGGUAAAAAAAAAAAAAGAAAGGGUUCCCUUGUGUGGCAACACUUUGAGCAGAUCUCUCCAGAUAAGUUACGACACAUGAAACGUCUGUAAGUAAUGAAAUGUGUUACAAAAUGAAUUCAAACAUUUCUUGCAUUCUAAGGUCAAGUGCUUGUUGUGCGCCAAGCAACUGGGCUACAACAACACCUCAUCAAUGCUGAGGCAUUUCCGUGCUCGUCAUGAACAGACUGCGGAGGAAAGCGAUGAGGCCAGUCAAGGAAAGUUUUAGGGGAGAGAGAAAAAGAGGAAGCUUGGCGCUCAGCCACAAGAAGCCGUUUCCUCUCCCGAGUCCCCCUAACGAAAGCAACGAGGAGAAACAAGAAACGCAAUCCACCCAACAAAUGCAGCAGCAGAAGAUUCCAAGCGAGAAGAAAAACAACAGAGUUGAAGAGGCGACCAUUUUCAGGAAGUCGCCCUCUCCCGCUGCUGCAGAUGAGUUGAGGUCAUCUCCUCUCAGCUGCCACUCUGUACUUUUUUCUAUUAAAUAUUAUUGUUAUUGUUAUAUUCAAUAAAUGUGUGUAUUAUUUUGUAUUCUUGA
Long non-coding RNA from Phyllopteryx taeniolatus (common seadragon), 1407 nucleotides. RefSeq lists it as uncharacterized. The record is from RefSeq and is a predicted model, not a curated record. The transcript has 3 exons. NCBI's taxonomy places the organism in Eukaryota, Metazoa, Chordata, Actinopteri, Syngnathiformes, Syngnathidae.